Molecule: non-coding RNA, 107 nt
Filed under: Nocardia cyriacigeorgica
Lineage: Bacteria; Bacillati; Actinomycetota; Actinomycetes; Mycobacteriales; Nocardiaceae
Source: RNAcentral
CCGCGCGGUAGCAUCCGGGGGCUCGGCGGGCGAUGAGGAAACCGGUGAAAUUCCGGUGCGGUCGCGCCACUGUGAACAGCCAGACCCUCUCCGGCGAGCGCUAACCC